This is a long non-coding RNA of Drosophila guanche, 314 nucleotides long. RefSeq lists it as uncharacterized. The transcript is spliced from 2 exons. NCBI's taxonomy places the organism in Eukaryota, Metazoa, Arthropoda, Insecta, Diptera, Drosophilidae. The record is from RefSeq and is a predicted model, not a curated record.
CUUCUGUUACAGUUCAGUAAACAAUUCGAUAAAUAAUAUCUGAGAAAUUAUUAAAAUGAAGAAGUUUAUAACAUUUUCAAUGGUUCUGCUCAUGGCGUUGUUUUUAGUCGGUGCCGCAAUUGAGGAAGACUGCCCCACACCCAGGAUAGGUGCAAAAAUCUGGAAGUGCGAUAUCUCAAGAUUAACAGAAUACGGAAAUCAACAAACAGUGGAGCAAUGAAUUGUUUUAAAUUAUAUUAGUGCAUGCCACAAACAGUGGCUUCUAAUAUUUAUCUAUGCCCAAAAAUGAAGUAAAAUAAAAUAUUAAACAAGUC